RNAcentral lists this transfer RNA (76 nucleotides) under Staphylococcus aureus. RNAcentral describes it as "tRNA-Asp". It matches the Rfam family "tRNA". From Rfam's summary of the family: Transfer RNA (tRNA) molecules are approximately 80 nucleotides in length. Their secondary structure includes four short double-helical elements and three loops (D, anti-codon, and T loops). Lineage: Bacteria; Bacillati; Bacillota; Bacilli; Caryophanales; Staphylococcaceae. The record is from RNAcentral.
GGUCUCGUAGUGUGGCGGUUAACACGCCUGCCUGUCACGCAGGAUAUCGCGGGUUCGAUUCCCGUCGAGACCGCCA